Molecule: long non-coding RNA, 808 nt
Filed under: Homo sapiens (human)
Lineage: Eukaryota; Metazoa; Chordata; Mammalia; Primates; Hominidae
Description: HSALNT0062002
Source: RNAcentral
AAGAAGCCUAGGAAACUUAGAGCAUUGCAAGAAAGAGAGGAAUCUAGACUGCCAAACAGCCUGUCCUCUUAGCUGUGCUUGUCAAAAGGUUUUUACCUCAGAAUCCCAGGGUAUAUCUUGGUUAUAAACAACUAGUAUAUGUCUAAGUUAACAGCUUAGUAACCUGAGUACAGUUAUGUAGCAGAAGUUUUAAUCAUUUUCCACAUUUUCUUUUUUUGUCGUCUUAAGGAUUUCUGGACUGGGUGAAUCUUAUCUGCAUUUGGCAAUCAUGAUUCUGAGACUGUGAGUGGCUAACGUCAAGGAAGCAGCCUCCUUUACAGAACAACCCUUCUGUUUAUUUCUGUCAAAGCAUGUGAUUUAUCAAAAAUGAAAUAGAACCACAAUAAUAUAAUUAUAAUUUUUAAGAAGAUUAAAGAACAACCCUUUUUAAAGGAAUAACUUAAUUCACUACUUUGACUACAUAGAAAUUUAAUGCAUGACUUUCUUGAAACGCUCUUCUCUCAUAACACCCCUGGCCCAUUUUCUCCUGUUUUGACACCAUGUGAGGGUUAUAUACACUGCAUAGCUCUCAACACUCUGAUUUGUGUCCUGGUCUUAAUUUACAAAAGGUGACUGCGUGACAAUUCUGAGAGGCCAAUGCCAAUGAGAGAAAAGUUUACUGCUACUCAUGAUGGCGCCCCUGGAAGCAGAAGACACAGCACGCUAUAGAGGGCCAUGUGGGAAAGCACUGGAGUAGCUCCAGGCCGGGCUUGCCAGUCUCUCUGCACUCUGGAAGGAGUUUGCCUGGGUUGGGGUUGUCCCUUGGUAG